Canis lupus familiaris (dog) is the source of this 5153-nucleotide RNA transcript. It is a transcript of the gene named leucine rich repeat containing 32, with no coding region annotated. The record is from RefSeq and is a predicted model, not a curated record. NCBI's taxonomy places the organism in Eukaryota, Metazoa, Chordata, Mammalia, Carnivora, Canidae. The transcript has 5 exons.
GGUCGGGUUCCCGUGGGGCGGUGGAGCAGCCGCGGGCCGCCGCGGGCCGUGACCCCGGGGUCUGGGCGGCAGGUUUGCGCAAGAUGUGCCGGGGCUGCGCGCCAGAGGAGCGGCGGCCGCGCUGAGCCAGGUCGGAGGACAGAGCCAAACUUGAGGAGGCAUUCAGUUAAAGUAUGAAAGGAAGAAAGAAGGAAAGAGAGAGAGAGAGAGAGAGAGAGAGAAAUAAAAAGAGAGAAGAAAGAAAGAAAGAAAGAAAGAAAGAAAGAAAGAAAGAAAGAAAGAAAGAAAGAAAAAAGAGAAGAGAAGAGAAGAGAAGAGAAGAGAAGAGAAGAGAAGAGAAGAGAAGAGAAAAAGAAAGAAAAGAAAAGGCUUGAUGUGUACUCCUAGCACUUGGCCCAGGUCCUCAGUGAGUGAGCCCCUAACAGCACAGGGAAUCAACUCUGCUCAGGGCCUGUGAGGUUGCCCUUACUCCACCUCAGCUGCACACAGAGAAGACACCAGCAGAGCCAUGAGCCACCAGAUCCUGCUGCUUCUGGCCCUGCUGACCCUGGGCCUGGCCACCUCCCAACGAGACAAGGUGCCCUGUAAGAUGGUAGACAAGGAGGUCUUGUGCCAGGGUCUUGGCCUGCUCCAGGUCCCCUCGAUGCUCCCGCUGGACAUCGAGGCCCUCGACCUAUCUGGGAACCAGCUGCAGAGCAUCCUGGCCUCACCCCUGGGCUUCUACACAGCACUUCGACGCCUGGACCUGAGCACCAAUGAGAUCAGCUUCAUCUACACCGGGGUCUUCCAGGCCCUGCCCCACCUGGAGCACCUCAACCUGGCCCACAACAACCUGGCAGUGGGCACCAUGCUGAACGCCCCCAGCCUGGGCCCCCUGCCUCAUGUGACAUCUCUGGACCUGUCCGGGAACAGCCUGUACAGUGGCCUGGUGGAGCAGCUGCUCGGGGAGGCGCCCGCCCUGCGCACCCUCUCGCUGGCCGAGAACAGCCUGACUCGCCUGGCCCGCCACACGUUCCGGGGCACGCCCGCGCUGGAGCGGCUCGACCUCCACAGCAACGUGCUCAUGGACAUCGAGGACGGUGCUUUCGAGGCCCUACCCCACCUGGCCCACCUGAAUCUGUCCAGGAAUUCCCUCACCUGCAUCUCCGACUUCAGUCUCCAGCAGCUGCGGGUACUGGACCUGAGCUGCAACAGCAUCGAGGCCUUUCAGGUGGCCCCAGAGCCCCAGGCUGAGUACCAGCUGGCCUGGCUCGACCUGCGGGAGAACAGACUGCUCCGCUUCCCGGACUUGGCUGCGCUCCCUCGACUCAUCUACCUGAACAUGUCCAACAACCUCAUCCGGCUCCCUGCAGGGCCAUCCCAGGGGGGCGAGGGCAUCCACGCGCCUUCAGAGGGCUGGUCGGCCUUGCCCUUCUCCCACCCCAGCCGCAACGCCAGCACCCACCCCCUCUCCCAGCUCUUGAACCUGGAUUUGAGCUACAAUGAGAUUGAGCUGGUCCCUGAGGGCUUUCUCGAGCACCUGACCUCCCUUCGCUUCCUGAAUCUCAGCCGGAACUGUUUGCGAGCCUUCCAGGUGCAGCGCGCGGGCUUCCUGCCUUGCCUUGUGUACCUGGACAUCGGCCACAACGCGCUGGAGACGCUAGAGCUGGGCUCCAGGGCCCUGGGGUCUCUGCGGACGCUCCUCCUCCAGGACAAUGCCCUGCGGGACCUGCCCCCCUACACUUUUGGUGGCCUGGCCAAUCUGCAGAGGCUUAACCUUCAGGGAAACCGGGUCAGGCCUUGUGGGGGGCCAGGUGAGCCCAGCCCCUCAGGAUGUGUGGCCUUCUCUGGCAUCUCCUCCCUCCGAGUCCUGAACCUGGUGGACAAUGAGAUGGAGAUGCUCCGGGCGGGUGCCUUCCUCCACACGCCACUUACCGAGCUGGACCUUUCUGCAAACCCAGGGCUGGAUGUGGUCACGGGGGCCUUGGCGGGCCUGGAGGCCUCCUUGGAGGUCCUGGCCCUGCAGGGCAAUGGGCUAGCCAUCCUGCAAGUAGACCUGCCCUGCUUCAGCUGCCUUAAGCAGCUCAAUCUUGCCGAGAACCGCCUGAGCCACCUGCCUGCCUGGACACAGGCCGUGUCCUUGGAGGUACUGGACCUGCGGAACAACAGUUUCAGCCUGCUGCCGGGCAGCGCCAUGGGCGGCCUGGAGACCAGCCUCCGGCGCCUCUACCUGCAGGGGAAUCCACUGAGCUGCUGUGGCAAUGCCUGGCUGGCUGCCCAGCUGCACCAGGGCCGUGUGGACGUGGAUGCCACCCAGGACCUGACCUGCCGCUUUGGCUCCCAGGAGGAGGUAUCCCUGAGCCACGUGCGUCCUGAGGACUGUGAGAAAGGGGGACUCAAGAAUGUCAACCUCAUUAUCAUCCUCACUUUUGCACUGGUCUCUGCCAUCCUCCUCACCACACUGGCCACUUGUUGCUGCGUCCGUCGGCAGAAGUUCAACCAACAGUACAAAGCUUAGGGAAGCCAGGAGCUGCGGGACAGCUCAGCCUGGAGACCUCCCAGGUCAGCUGGGGUGCCGGAGGCACGGACAAGGGUGGGGACUGACCCAAGGUCACACAGUGAGCCAGAGUCUGAGAACUCUGGUCUCUAACUCCCCGCCCAGGGCUCCUUCCCUUAUGUCGUGCUGUACUGGUAGGCAACCCACUUCCCAGGCCACACAUGUGGUCCAGCUGUGGCAGCCGGAAGUCAGGCAGUUUCAGGAGUGACAGAGAAUAAGGUUGACAGAUCUGACCGACACAUGUUUGCCAAGCAUGUUUUGUGCCACAUCCUGCUCUGGGCACUGGGGACGCUGGUGAAUGAGACAUAUCCCUGCCCUCGAGUGUCCCCCAGUCCUGGUGGGGAGGUGGUCCCAAAGCCAUGCAGUGACCACGCCGAGUGUGGAAGUUCCAGGGCUGCUGAGUUAUGGAGAGUCCUGCCCCGGUGGGGCCGGAGCACAGGAGGGACAAGACCAACAAGACUGGUCUGAGACGUUUCCAAGCAGACUGUUUGUCACAUCUUCCAAUAAUGACUUUCAGCUUCUUUGGAACAUGUAGAGCUUGUGACCGGAAGAGAACUGGAGCCACAUGAGUACAUCUUGGAUUCAGCUCUGAGGCCACAGCGGCUCCAGCAGAGCCUGAUUAAGAGGCUGUUGCCCGGGUUCUGGCCCUGUGCUGGACCAUUCCAUUUCCUGCUCCCGACAGGCUCUUUCCCUGCCUAGCAUGCUGGGGUUGCACACAAUUGCCCUAGCCCCCCAGCUCCCUACGCAGGCCCCUUGUUCAUCCCCAGCCCCACCCCGGCUGAUGAGCCAGGAGUCAGAACCCAAGCGAUCCGGUUCUGUUCUGCACCAGGCUUGUUGGCAGCUGGAACAUUGGCAGCCUCUUUCGGACAGCCCUCUGAGAGACACAAAGAGAGAGACAGAGACACAGGCAGAGGGAGAAGCAGGACUCCAUGCGGGGAGCCCAACAUGGGACUGGAUCCCGGGUCUCCAGGAUCACACCGUGGGCUGAAGGAGGUGCUAAACCACUGAGCCACCCGGGCUGCCCCUGCAUCUUGCUUUUUUAAUUGAACAAUACUUCAAGGAAAUCCUCCCCUCUAAUUCAUUUUUGACGGUACAUAAUAUUCCAUAGUGUGAAUAUUCCAUAAUUUAUUCAGCUGUUUACCACUUAAUGGAACAUUCACUUUUUAAUCUUUUUUUUUUUUCAACUAUAAACAUGCUGCAAAAACAUCCUUGUUCAUAUGCCCAUAUCUCUGGGAGUUGUAUUUGUCAGAUAAGUUCUUACAGGUAAAAUUCUAGAUCAAUGGAUAGAUAUUAUAUAUAUGAUGUAUAUGAUUUUAAUAAAUCUUACUUUUUAAAAAGAGUCCUGUUUCACCCUUCCAUAAACAACUUAUGAGAGUAUCUUUUCUGCACUUCCCUGCCAGAAUGCGGGUGAUAUAAAGAGAGACGUCUAGAGAGUCGUCUCUCAUUGUUAUUAUUUUUUUUAAAGAUUUAUUUUUAUUUAUUUGAGACAGAGAGAGAGAGAACAGGAGCACCAUGGGAGAGGGAGAAGCAGACUCCCUGCUGAGCUCAGAGAGCCCAACUUGGGGCUUGAUCCCAGGAGAUCCUGGCCUGAGCCCAAGGCAGCCAGCCACCCAGGCACCCCCACCCAGGCGGCCCUCUCAUUGUUACAUUAAAUCACAUUUCUCUACUGCUGGAUCUGAGCAGCUUUUCGUUUCCUUGUUUGCCAUUUGGAUGGGUUCUUCCAUGAAACAUCCAUUUUUAUCCUUUGCCCAUUUUUCUGUUAUCUUUUCCUUGUCGAUUUGUAAACCUCAUUGUACACUGUAGUUAUUCAACUUUAUCUAGCACUUUUAUAACAAAUGUUUUCCAAAGCUCUCCUUUGUCUGUUGACUGUGAUUGUGUAUCUUUGCCCCACAAUGCUUUUCGGCCUCACUUCUCCUUUGUAGCUUGAUUCAAUUGUUUCACUCAGAUUGUUCGUAUAGUCUUCUAAAUUUUUUUUCUUCUUUUAUUUUUUUUACACUUAGAUCUUUAAAUAAUCUGAAAUGGAUUUUUGAUUAUGCAGUUGGGUAAUUGGUCAAAUUUUGCUUCCAGAUGAAGAGUGAUUGUGCCAGCAUCAUUUACUAAAUAAUCAAAGGUUACUCUAUCAAAUAUUAAAUUCUGAUAUAUGUUUCGUGUCUAUUUCUGGAUUUCCUCCUCUGUAUAUUUCACUGAUCUAGAUCUAUUCCUCUAUUAGUGCUCUAGUGAUUGAUUUUAGAGUUUGUUCUGAGAUGUAUAAGGUAAGUCCUCCUGCAUUGCUAUUAUCAUCCAUAAAUUUUUGGCUAUUUUCAGGCAUUAAUUCUUCCAAAUAAACAUUUCAUGCUGUUUGGAAUUGAUCUGGGGAGUUUUGACAUUUCUGGGAUAUCAAAGCUUCCCAUCCAAGACUAUGGUAUGUCUCUCUAUUUGUUCAGAACUUGUUUUCAAUCCUUCGACAAGCUUUUUUCAUGUUAGCCCUGUGCCUUUCUUGUUUAAUCUAUUCCUAACUAUUUUGUGCUUUUUGGCAAUAUUGUCAAUGGAAUAUUUUUCUAUUUCCAUUUUUAUGUGUUUGUUUUCAAAACAGAGAAAAGUGGUUUUUAAUAUUUACCUUGCACCCAAUAGCCUUAUC